UGGCGCGCGAGGCACGGCCCGGUCGCGCCGAGGCUCGAGCGGCCGUCGCCAUUUUGUAGGGUUCUCUCUGACGCGGGAGCCGCCGCCGCCGCCGCCGCCGCCCGGAGGCUCUUGUCAGGAUGGUGAAGCUGUUCAUCGGAAACCUGCCCCGGGAGGCCACAGAGCAGGAGAUCCGCUCACUCUUCGAGCAGUAUGGGAAGGUGCUGGAAUGUGACAUCAUUAAGAACUAUGGCUUUGUGCACAUAGAGGACAAGACGGCGGCUGAGGAUGCCAUACGCAACCUGCACCACUACAAGCUGCACGGAGUGAACAUCAACGUGGAAGCCAGCAAGAAUAAGAGCAAAGCUUCAACCAAGUUACACGUGGGCAACAUCAGUCCCACCUGCACCAACCAAGAGCUUCGGGCCAAGUUUGAGGAGUAUGGUCCAGUCAUCGAAUGUGACAUUGUGAAAGAUUAUGCCUUCGUACACAUGGAGCGGGCAGAAGAUGCAGUGGAAGCCAUCAGGGGCCUUGACAACACAGAGUUUCAAGGCAAAAGAAUGCACGUGCAGUUGUCCACAAGCCGACUUCGGACUGCCCCUGGGAUGGGAGACCAGAGCGGCUGCUAUCGGUGUGGGAAAGAGGGGCACUGGUCCAAAGAGUGCCCAGUAGAUCGCACAGGUCGUGUGGCGGACUUCACUGAGCAGUAUAAUGAACAGUAUGGAGCAGUUCGCACACCUUACACCAUGGGCUAUGGGGAGUCCAUGUAUUACAACGAUGCAUAUGGAGCACUCGACUACUAUAAGCGCUACCGCGUCCGCUCUUAUGAGGCAGUGGCGGCGGCGGCGGCAGCUUCUGCAUACAACUACGCGGAGCAGACCAUGUCCCAUCUGCCUCAAGUCCAGAGCACAGCUGUGACCAGUCACCUCAAUUCCACUUCUGUUGAUCCCUAUGACAGACACCUAUUGCCAAACUCUGGCCCCGCUGCCACCUCAGCUGCUAUGGCUGCUGCUGCUGCCACCACUUCCUCUUAUUAUGGAAGGGACAGGAGCCCGCUGCGUCGUGCAGCAGCUGUGCUCCCCACAGUUGGAGAGGGCUACGGUUAUGGACCAGAGAGUGAGCUCUCUCAGGCUUCAGCAGCUGCACGGAAUUCUCUGUAUGACAUGGCCCGGUAUGAGCGGGAGCAGUAUGUGGACCGAGCUCGGUACUCAGCCUUUUAAAAACUGGAGGUGUGAACCUCAAAUGGACUGAAUAACCCUGAGUUGGUUGCAGUCCCAGGAGCCUGAUGUUAAUGAGGCUGCCAAGAUGAAAUACUCCAGAACUGGUGGGGAUCCAAAUUCGGGUCCCACCCUAGCAGAACUGAUCCAAGAACGUCACAACUUUUGAAGUCGAUUGGCACAGAUCAAGACCAAGAUUUGGCCCUUUGUCUGUAAUAAGUAGAGGAACUUGGUGUAGGAUAAUUGCGGACUGAACCCUCGGGCUGCGGUCAUAUAUGAGAACUUGCUCCGCGCGGUCCCCUUUGCCGGGAUGUUUCCAUUGCUUCAUGUUUCAGUAAACAAAGGAGUUUGUGACCAACUAUGUUUCCUUUCUUAAUUUAAUUUGUCUAAGUUGUCUUUUCUUUCCUCCUGAUACUAGUCUCUGUAGCUUUUCACUGUUCCUUAUAUUCUCAGCCUCUGAGCAGCCCUAGGUAAGGAUUAUGCUGGCAUCCCCUUUUUCCUGUACAGUGGAACCCCUCUUAUCUUGCUUUCCCUAGGAAUUGAACCCCUCUCCCUGCCUACCUGCAGCAUCUCCUUUCCCUUUAAAAUGACCACGUAGUGGCAAGCAGCCUUUUAUUCUUCUCUGUUAGCCCUGGACUCUAACACUGAAGCUACUCUUCUGAAAUUGCUAGGACCAUUGGGGAUUUUGUUGUUUUGUUCGUUUUGUUUUUUUAUGUUUGACCUGUGAUCGUGGUACAGCAUUAGCUGAAAUUUAGCCUUGUUUUACUCCACUUCUCCCACUUUUUUUUUUUAUUAUUAUUUUGACAAAUAAACGUUUCUAACACUUAA
Molecule: RNA transcript, 2024 nt
Organism: Cynocephalus volans (Philippine flying lemur)
Lineage: Eukaryota; Metazoa; Chordata; Mammalia; Dermoptera; Cynocephalidae
Gene: RBM4B
Gene name: RNA binding motif protein 4B
Exons: 5
Source: RefSeq, a predicted model, not a curated record